GAUGAACGCUGGCGGCGUGCUUAACACAUGCAAGUCGAACGGAAAGGCCCAAGCUUGCUUGGGUGCUCGAGUGGCGAACGGGUGAGUAACACGUGGGUGAUCUGCCCUGCACUUUGGGAUAAGCCUGGGAAACUGGGUCUAAUACCGGAUAGGACCAUCGUUUAGUGUCGGUGGUGGAAAGUUUUUCGGUGUGGGAUGAGCUCGCGGCCUAUCAGCUUGUUGGUGGGGUAAUGGCCUACCAAGGCGUCGACGGGUAGCCGGCCUGAGAGGGUGUACGGCCACAUUGGGACUGAGAUACGGCCCAGACUCCUACGGGAGGCAGCGGUGGGGAAUAUUGCACAAUGGGCGCAAGCCUGAUGCAGCGACGCCGCGUGGGGGAUGACGGCCUUCGGGUUGUAAACUCCUUUCGCCAAGGACGAAGCGUUUUGUGACGGUACUUGGAGAAGAAGCACCGGCUAACUACGUG
RNAcentral lists this ribosomal RNA (466 nucleotides) under uncultured bacterium. RNAcentral describes it as "partial 16S ribosomal RNA". It matches the Rfam family "Bacterial small subunit ribosomal RNA", at positions 28 to 507 of the family's 1533-position model. The record is from RNAcentral.